AGGAGAAAAAAGUUGGAAAUUCAAAUUGCCUCCCCGCCGCAAGGCAUGGAUAGAGUUUAGCCCCAUGUCCUAGUUUUUUUCUUUUUUUUUUCCCCCCCUUGCUAACCACGUGCAACAAGGUGUCUGCACAGGCAAAGAAAACAGCAUGGACCCUGGGAUGGAUAAUACACUGCAGCAGCACGUUGAACGGAUCGUAAUUUUACUAUUAUAUUCAACGAAGCUGGUGUGGUUUUUUAUUUCUUUUUGACGCGGGGAUUUAGUAGCGGGGAGCAAGCAGUUUCGGCCAAAAUUUAUAGUUUUCCACAGCCAAAAGUGCUGAAGGACUCCGUCUUUCCUCUGUCGAAUUAUCACCAUUAACACAAGUCCUAUACAUACAUACAUGCUACCAUGCAUUCCAGAAAAGAGCCAUCAUUUGUAACUCCACGGUGUCCAACGCCUUUAAAUGGGUCUAUACAUAUCUAGAUGCAUUGACUGAUGCCUGAUUGUAAUGCGCCGCGACAAAUAUCUAAUCUACAACAAUGACAACGAGAAGGGAAAUAAAUGAAAGCAACCGAAAUUAUCAUUUGCCGGUAGCAGCGGGAGAAGAGACGCCUGGGGGUACCGCCGCAGU
RNAcentral lists this small RNA (610 nucleotides) under Histoplasma capsulatum. Its description in RNAcentral is "hypothetical RNA". RNAcentral also lists the same sequence under 1 other name. The record is from RNAcentral. Lineage: Eukaryota; Fungi; Ascomycota; Eurotiomycetes; Onygenales; Ajellomycetaceae.